GCUGGAUUUCCACCCCUGGCAGCCCGCUGCCCAGCGGCUCUCCAUCCAGCAGCCAGGAGAUGUGUGCUGCCGGGGGCUCUGCGGAGCAGCGCAGCACCACGGGGCCACCGGGCUUCUGGACGGCAGAGAUGGGCUCGGAAGUAAAGCGGGGAGUCAAGUCUGAGCUGCUGGCGGAGAGGAGCGCGGCGGCAGCAAGCAGUGCAUGCAGGCAGGCAGGGGCCGACUGCAUAGCGCCCGGACAGCAGGCACCACAACGGCGCUCCGGGGCUGACAGCUCCGCUCAGCGCCGCCGUUCGGGGCUCGGGGCGCAGCGGCUCGUGCCGGGGGUGCGAGGCGAGCGCCGCUCCGCGUGCAUGCGGGCAGCCCGCAACGAGUCACGCCGCGCCCGGCCGCCGGCGGCCGCAUCCAGCCGGGAAACGCAGCUCCCGCGUCCCCCAGCCCGCAGGGAAGCGGUCCCGGCCCCGCUGCCUGCAGGCGGGGCGGGCGACCCGGCCGGGCGCCUCCCGCCCGCUCCCGCGAGCCCCGCCGCCCCCGCCCCGCGGAGCGUACCAAGGGCCGGAGCAGCGGGGGGAGAGCGGCGGAGGCCCCCGCGGGAGGAAGCGGGGCGGUGGGCGCGGGCC
Molecule: long non-coding RNA, 620 nt
Filed under: Gallus gallus (chicken)
Lineage: Eukaryota; Metazoa; Chordata; Aves; Galliformes; Phasianidae
Source: RNAcentral